CAGCAGCCGCGGUAAUACCGGCGGCCCGAGUGGUGGCCGCUAUUAUUGGGCCUAAAGCGUCCGUAGCCGGGCUGGUAAGUCCUCCGGGAAAUCUGGUCGCUUAACGAUCAGACUUCCGGAGGAUACUGCUGGCCUAGGGACCGGGAGAGGCCGAGGGUAUUCCCGGGGUAGGGGUGAAAUCCUGUAAUCCCGGGAGGACCACCUGUGGCGAAGGCGCUCGGCUGGAACGGGUCCGACGGUGAGGGACGAAGGCCAGGGGAGCGAACCGGAUUAGAUACCCGGGUAGUCCUGGCUGUAAACGAUGCGGACUAGGUGUCGGGCAAGCUAAGGGCUUGUCCGGUGCCGCAGGGAAGCCGUUAAGUCCGCCGCCUGGGGAGUACGGCCGCAAGGCUGAAAUUUAAAGGAAUUGGCGGG
RNAcentral lists this ribosomal RNA (414 nucleotides) under uncultured microorganism. RNAcentral describes it as "bacterial SSU rRNA". It matches the Rfam family "Archaeal small subunit ribosomal RNA", at positions 459 to 872 of the family's 1478-position model. The record is from RNAcentral.